AUUUUUGGCUAUUAAUUUCUUCAGUGGAAGUCACAACUCCAACUAAAUCUAUGAAACAAGCAAACAAUAGCAGAUGAAUUAAAAUUAGAAUUAAGACAAUUUACUUUUAACCUAAAUAAAGCUAUUCAAAAUCAAUUCGUAAGAGAUUAAUGACUAUGCAAGUUGUACAAACAAUCCCAGUAAGCUUCACAUGACAGAGGAACAGAAUAAUUAUGUGUACCAGAACAAUAUACGAAGUCCUUAAGGAACACCCCCCCGUGUGGCCACUUUAUCAUUACAAUAAGACCAACUUUUCCAUAGGCCACCAUUUGAGGUGUGAACUAAAGAUCUGUUGGGUUCAUAAAGAAAUGAAAUGGAAAUUGGAAGAAAUUCAUUCCAUUUUGAUUCUCAGAGUUUAUACAAAGCCUUUGGUGACUUUGGUCCAACGUUCCUAGUUUAAUAUACUCAUCUUCUACAUUUCUGCCAUUUGGACUUUAGCUACAGCCAAUAAAUUUUUAUUAAUAAAUGGAAAAGUGAAUCAAGUAUGUCACUGGGGCUUCAAAAGAAUGAUCACACGAUGAUGCCCGAUCCGGGUCUCACUGAUGCGACCAAGGUGACGAAGAGCUGUCAGUAUAGCUUUUCCGGUGUUGUCAAGCUUCAAUGUUGGCCCUUUUAUGUCUGUUUCAAGGAAAAAGUGUUUUCCCUUUAUUGUUUCUGUCAUUGCAAUAUCCCUUACUUCCUGCAUGUUUCAUAAACGUAUUGAAAAUCAACUGCAUAAGCAACAGUUAAUUUGCACAGAAACAGAAGAAGGGCAUUAGCACUAUCACAUUUGUAUAACUGUUUGAAAUGGAAUACAAGCUUUUAUAUAUAGUAGUUUGGUAUGAAUGUAUUAAUCUACAUCAGCUUCUCACAGAGUGGCCAGCAAAGCAGCAAACUUAUGCAAUUCCAGAAAAGCAUUCAGCCUAUGAAGAAACACAAGUGCUUGAAGUAAUUUUGGAUUGUGUUGUUAGUUAAAUUCACUUACCAAUGCUUUUUCCCAUAGAUUUUCUGCCAGCUUUUUCUUUGAGGCUCCAAUAAGCUGAGAAUUCAUUUCAGCAUAUGCUGCCAUGUCAUUGAUAGCAGCAUUAACCUUAUCUAGUGUGAGCCUUCCUCUCAUGUAUCUGCAAUCAGUGGAGAUUCAGAUAAAAACAGAGUUUAGAUGAUGUUAGAUCUCCAUUUCCCAAUUGAAGUCUCAAAACCCUAAAAGUUACUGUCUUAUGCCUAUCUGCUGAGAAAAUACGUGCAGAAGUAUACAAUUAUCCGUUAGAAGUUCAUCCUAUGUCCUAAAAGUACAUGUCCUCCAAGGUUCAAAGUUCAAACAGGUAAAUUUAGCAAUAAACCCACAGAGAGAUAUUUCAAUAUAAAUUGGUAUUGACAAAAAAAUAAGACCAAGUCCACAUAAAGUUGUUCUAAUGGAUAAAUCAUGAAAUGUAACUGACUAGCUCAUAAGCAGCCCACCAAUCCUAGCAUGGAUGAGAAUAAAAAUUGUACAGUUGAAAAGGAAUGAGAGAUUAACUCACGAGGACAGGGAAUCUAGCUCAUCAGCAGUUAUAUACCAUAACGGUGGAGAGGCACGGCCCUUUUUUCCCUAGAAUUAACAAACAUAAGAAAACUGAUUCAAGUAACUUCCUCUUAGGCUCAUGCUUUAUCUGCAACAUAAGUUUUUGAGAAAUAAGAGAAAAUUUUUGCCCAAUAGCCAAACAUUUGCACUUUUUUAGUUUCUUUGUUUACGUUUUUGUUCUUCACCUCAUACUUCCAGGUUCAUGAUACAAAUGUUUCAUCCCAACAAAGAUGAGAGACUACUUUUGGGCAAGAUGCAUCAAACCACACAGAGCAAUUAUAAAGUGAGCCUUCUUCUAAGCCACCCACAAAUCACUAGCAUGUAAUAAAAUUUUACAAAACAAUUAAAUCUCAAAUAACUUUGUUAUUAUAAUCCUUGGGCAAUGUUGCUUAUGCUUCAUCAAAUUGAUCAUACCUUGGGUAAUGCUGCAGGCUCCUCCUCAGUCUUUAAAGAACCAAACGCAGGUUGUAGAUUAGAGGCUUCAGAAUGUACACUUCUAUUUGUAUCUGAAUUCAAUACGGUAAUUCUUUCUGGCAAAUGCGAGGGAAUAUGAACAGACAAACUCUGCAACUUCUUCUGCUGCUGCAGUGAUGCAUUGAUGAGUUUCUUAGCUUUAGGAAUAGCCUCAGUCUCCUCACGCAACCGGUCCUUAAUAGCUUGUAUCUGCAGCUCCAUCGCCUUCAAUGCAGCAUCCACCGCCGACAGAUCAGUGAUGCUGCCCGCCGCAUACAUGUUUCGGCCGAUAACGAGUUCUUGAAGCUCAGCGAUUCGAGUAUUAAACGAAGAUAUGAGAGAAUCGAGCGACGAACCAGCUUGAUUCACUGCCAUCUUCUCUCUGUCUCAGUCAAUAAUCUCUGAUUUUCAGAAUCUCUAAAUAGCUUCAAAUCCUUGGAUGUGUUUUUGGAGACUUUAGUGGGCGGGAAGGAAGGAAGGGUUUUCAUUUUUG
This 2525-nucleotide unclassified non-coding RNA is filed under the name Hevea brasiliensis (rubber tree). The record is from RNAcentral. Lineage: Eukaryota; Viridiplantae; Streptophyta; Magnoliopsida; Malpighiales; Euphorbiaceae.